Molecule: ribosomal RNA, 696 nt
Filed under: uncultured bacterium
Lineage: Bacteria
Description: bacterial SSU rRNA
Rfam family: Bacterial small subunit ribosomal RNA
Source: RNAcentral
CAUGCAAGUCGAGGGGUAACAGGAAGUGCUUGCACUUCGCUGACGACCGGCGCACGGGUGAGUAUCCCGUAUACAAUCUGCCUCAUACUAGAGCAUAGCCCGAAGAAAUUUGGAUUAAUACUCUAUAGUAUCUAGAAAAGGCAUCUUUUUUAGAUUAAAGGUUACGGUAUGAGAUGAGUAUGCGUUCUAUUAGUUUGUAGGUGUGGUAACGGCACACCUAGACUACGAUAGAUAGGGGCCCUGAGAGGGGGAUCCCCCACACUGGUACUGAGACACGGACCAGACUCCUACGGGAGGCAGCAGUAAGGAAUAUUGGUCAAUGGACGAAAGUCUGAACCAGCCAUGCCGCGUGCAGGAUGACGGCCCUACGGGUUGUAAACUGCUUUUAUACAGGAAGAAAAACUUUCUCGUGAGAAAGCUUGACGGUACUGUAAGAAUAAGGAUCGGCUAACUCCGUGCCAGCAGCCGCGGUAAUACGGAGGAUCCAAGCGUUAUCCGGAAUCAUUGGGUUUAAAGGGUCCGUAGGUGGACAGAUAAGUCAGAGGUGAAAUACUGCAGCUCAACUGUAGAACUGCCUUUGAUACUGUUUGUCUUGAGUUAUUGUGAAGUGGUUAGAAUGUGUAGUGUAGCGGUGAAAUGCAUAGAUAUUACACAGAAUACCGAUUGCGAAGGCAGAUCACUAACAAUCAACUGACA